Columba livia (rock pigeon) is the source of this 8997-nucleotide long non-coding RNA. RefSeq lists it as uncharacterized. The transcript has 2 exons. NCBI's taxonomy places the organism in Eukaryota, Metazoa, Chordata, Aves, Columbiformes, Columbidae. The record is from RefSeq and is a predicted model, not a curated record.
UUCUGUCACACUUCAUUAGAGGAUGGUCAGGGAUAGCCAAGGGAAAAAAAAAGAAGAGAGGCUGACUGAAAAUGUUUCAUUUCCUUCAGAAAUCAGACUAGAAAUCUUUGCAGCACAUGUGGGUUGGCUGUGAGCAGCUCUGAGUAUGUGUGAGAUGAGAAUGGUGGCCUCUAAAGUCAAACGAGCAGGAUGCUGAGAGCUGCGAAGAUAUAUAGCCUUACCUCAUCAGCAGCCCAGGCUGAACUUUGUGGACUUCAAUGGUUUUUGUUUUCAGUCUUAACUCAUCGUCUUCUUCUUUGAGGUCAUUAUGGCUGUGGCUGCUUGGCUUCCCCUUCCCAGCCCAUGUAAGUUCAUCCCAGGAAAGCACCAAGCCAAGAACUUGCACAAACCCAAACAGGUGCUCGCAAGACUCCUGGCACUGGCUUGUCAGAGGUUGUCUGCAAGACCACAGGCCUCUGGAAAACGUAUUACCAAUGCCUUGAAUUGCAUUUCUGUACAUCACAGAAACAUAGGAAUUGGAUGGCAAGCUCAAGUCAUGAAUUACCACACUUUGAAAGUAUUAUUCCCUUGGCCUUGUCCACAAGCCAAAGAGGAACUGACCUGAACGGAUUUCUGCCUUUGCUUGCCUGAGGCUCCCAUUCUUCCUUCAAAACAUUUUUUCACAUUUCUUCUGAGAAACAAUACCACCAAAUAAGGUAGUAGAGAAUAUAUAAUGAAAUAUGAGAAGAUUGUUGUGGAAUCCAUUAUAUUGUCGUCUUCACAGUUCACCUUCUUGCCUCAAAUUACCUUUGUUCCCCCCUAUUCUCCCACGAGCCUUCCUGUUUGUUCUUUUUUUCUUUUGACUGCCCACUUUCACACUUGUUUUGGCUUUCCUUCAGCUUUUUAAUAUUGUAUCUAUUCCUUGAAUAUACUAUAGUUUGACAUUCUGUUUCAUGAGUCACCGCUGGGGCUAGAGUUCGAAGUAGAUCAAAUCACACAAACUAGUUCUUAUAGCUCCCUAAAACUAAAUUUAAUUCAUGCUCCUUUUCAUCCUGAUAAACCUUUGUGGAUUCUUUCCUCCAUACACUCCCCCCAAAAUAUUAUGAAGUAAAUGUAAUUAUUGCACAUAAUGAUGACUAUAAGCUGGGGAUGGAAGGAACCCACAACUUCCCUUUUCCCUGUGCACAGGUACGAAGCUAACAUACCACAGAAAGUCUGAAUCAUGUGUCUUUCCUCAGAAGGUUUCUUUAACUGUUUUUUCUCCAAUUAAUUCAACUUUAUGAUCCAUAGUGAGAAAAUUCAGUGGUAGUAAACUGAGUAUGCAUAUUGACUUGUUCCCUAGUGAAAUGCUGCAUGGCAGCAACACUGAAUCCCCAGUGUUUCUCUGGCCAAAAAUUGUUUUUCCCACCUUUUCUUCUAUCAUGCAUUGUUGAACUUGUUUUCUCCACUCCAGUACAAAUAAUGCUGGUGCUUAGAAGAAUGCAUGCUCACCAAAAAACAACUGAAUUCUCCAUACAACUGCACUUUGCUUUGUUGUUUAAUCACCUUCAGAAAUUGUUCCUAAGCUGGUAUCUGCAACUAAGAACAUUAGUCUUUAAAUAACUUCAUGUUAUGGUGGUGUUACAUGAUUAUGUUGGCAAAGAUUUCUGUUAUGGUGUCAUCAUAAUUUUCAUUAGUACAGUGAAUUAUGACAGCUUGUUCUCUGCUUAAAUUGAUGUGAUUACUACUCUGAAACCCUGGCACAUUUUGCUAACACCUGACAUCUGGAAAAGAAAGGUGGGAGGCAAAGCAAGCUCUCAAGGUUGCUGUGUGAUGCACACUGAUGGUCUCCUCAUUUGUUCCAGUAGCCAAGGGCAAUGGCCUUUUUUGGUCAGCAGAACUAACUCCGUUCAUGCAAUGAUAAAACAAAUACCUGUUCUGACUAGUGAUGGAAAAUACCAUCAAACAAUGUGUUGUGCUGAAUAGGCAGUGACUGGAAUUAGCAGCACAUUCCUAUUUAAACUAAGGUAAUGUGUCAAAGUGGGUGGAUGAAGUGGAGAAUUAUUUUUUAAAUAACAGAAAAAAAAACCAUGCAGGUGUACAUAUGUACAUGCAAGCAUACAUCAAAUCAAAGGCACGUAUAAGAACAGAAAUUAUUGUUCUACCUUGUUAAAUGGAAGAUAGUUCUACCAGCAAAACUGUAAAGGUAUCAAUUUCUAGCUUAUCUAACAAAGGAUAUACUCUAGCUCUUGCAUGACCAUGGCUGGUACUGCACAGGGGAUGUUGGUUCUGCAGGAGCUGCGCAAACACACAGCCUGGUGCAGCACAGCUCUGCUUUGUGCCCCGCUGCAAAGGGAGAGACAGAUGUACCUGCUCUUCUCUGCCUGAAUGGGAACAGCCACUGCCUUGUCCUUGUUCUCCCUUUAACCCUGUCCUACCCUUUAAGGGUUGACACUGUCAGAUCAGUUUUCACACCAUAGGUUCCUGCAGGAGCUCCUCAGUGUGGGGGAGCAACAAGAGCUGCCCUGUGAGGCCAGGGACACCCACACUGACCUGGCCACAGCCCUGCCUGUGACACUUGACAGACUGCAGCUCCCCACUGUGCAUCUAUUGCUGCUGAUGAAAAAUGCUGCUGCCAGCCUGCCUUGCUUCAUAUCUGGCAUUUAACAAUGGCAGCAAAAGGACCCACCAAGAACAAGGCAAGUUCACAGCGGAACUGAAUUUUCUUUGCAUUACAAGAGAAAUUCCUCUUCUGCAGCACUAAACCUCUCUCUAGCAGCUCAGAACACAGACCAUUGGCAAUGUUUUUCUGUGCAGACAUAUAUAUUCCAGCACCUGUCAGUGGUGAUGAGUCUUUUCACAGUGAUCUUGUUCCCUGUGGAGUCAGCAAGACCCACGUGCUGCCAGCGCUAUGAGUGUCCGACAGGAAAAUCUGAUUUGCACUUCCACCAUUAAGCUUCUAUUUCCAGCCCUGAAAAUUAUGCUGGGUGACAUUAGGCAGCCAGGCUCCAUAAAACAGGGUAGACAAGACUGUCAGAUCGCUACCUUGGCAGAAUAAUCUGCUCUGACACUGAGGAAACCACUGUAGUGGUAAAAACGAGCCCUGACCUAACCAGGGACAUGCAUGAGUGUGUAACACCAGCGCUGCAAGACCUGGGGACGUCUGGGUGGGCCACACAGGAGACACCACUGCCUGGGGACUUGGCCAGGGCCAUGCAUCUCUGAGCAAAGCCAAAGUGCCUUCAUGAAACCUCUGUGCCUGAGCUGUAACUAUAUGAAGCAAACCCCUCAAAACCAUGGUGGUGUGGUCUCCCUCACAGAAGGUUUCUUAGGCCACUGGUAGCAACUGUGCUUGUGUGGGGCUGUGGUGCAGAGACCAGGUAGGCUGCAAAGGGCCUUGAGAGAGCAUCAAGUGCUUAGCCAAUUUAUGUGCUCUUAGCAAUAAAAAAAGUGCAACUUUCACAGCUCUACAUCCAACUUUUCUUAGAACAGAGUGAGGUCUUGUGGCUGCUGUUACCAGAGAUAUUUUCUGUACAGCUACUUAUUGAAUUUCUAAGAAAGUAACCAAAACCCAUUAAUCACUAGCAUAUUUCUUACUACUGUACCAGCCAAGGAUUACUUCAAUACUCACUUUAAUGGAUUGCUCAGAUAUGGAUGUUUUCAAGGUGAAAGGUCUUGCAAGGCUCCUUUUAUAAGCUUUCUGAAAUCUAAUCCAUCACUAAUUUUCAUAUGUCCUGCAUAGCACUAAGCUAAUGUAAUGCAUCACCACAUAAAUCCCUCUCUGAUAAAAUUAUCACGGGUAUUACAAAAACUCAAAGCAUUAUUCCUAAUUACAAGUGCCUUUUCCAGAUGUCUCACUAUUUGAGAUAUAAGCCUGGUGUGUUCAGGAGGUUUUUUUUCCUUAAUGAUGACUGGAAUAGGAAGUUUAAGAUGACACCUGGCAGCUUAGAUUUUCCAUGUCAGCGAAAAUCACAGACAGAAAUUGGGCUUUUUUAAUAACAGUUCUUACUAGAGAACAACUAGCUUCCUCCUUGUGUGUCCCCAGACUGAGGUUUUUGCCCAAGUUUCAGUACUUUUCAUCCCCCAAGCCAACCUGUUUUCUCUAACACCAUGUGAAACACUGACACGACUCCUUUGCACUUUCAAUAUUGAUUUCCCCAAAUAAUUUUGGUAUUCUCUGCUACCUAGGAUGUACAACCACCAAUCUAAGCACCAACACUAUCUGCUUCUGAUUGACUUGCUGGUUAUCCAGACAUGAUCUCCCACAGAGGAGAGAGGUAGUGGCAUUCUCCAGCUAAUUCUGGUACACACAACUGUACGCUCAGCUAAGACUGGACAGCUUUUUGUCUUUUCUGUCCUUGAGUCACUAAGAAAUUUCUUAUAAAUGGUAAGAGAAGUGCAAAAUGAGAAGCCAGGCCAGGUCUACCAUGCUAUAUGUUACAGGGAAAGCUUGUGUCCAGAAGUAGAGUACAAGAAAAGCCAGCAAAAAAUUGAUUUUUUCCAGUAAGUUUAAGGAAAGCUUGAAAAUACAAGCCUCUUAGGACCUCACAGAAUCAAUACAAUGCCUGAAAAGUAUAAAAAAGGAGAUAAGCAAACUGGAAAGGAAGCCUUGUCAGUACAUUGGCAAAAAUUAUGUUAAUGUAGAAGUCUGAUGGGUGAAGUCAUAUGCAAUGACUGUGGCAAGACAAAUGGUUAUAUCAAAGCCUGAAGACAAGAAAAGCCAAGUAAAAAAUAUACACCACAUGAAGUGAGCAGUGAUUCAGACAAGGAGACUGUGCAAGUAUCUGACAUUACCCCAGCAAAACAGUACAAAUAAAUUCUAUACAUCAGGCUACUUCAGAUGCAAGAACCGGCCCCACACAGCCCCUGGGAAGCAGGACACAGUGGAGGAGCUGCAGGGGGUUACCUGCAGGGAGUCUGAAUAACUUACCCAGGAAUAAGUGAGUUGAAUAGUGUGUAAUGCAGCUGCAUCACAUCUGUACUGUGCCAAAGCUGUAAAGCAAAGCUGAACCAGCAGUUCAGAAUUGAAGACGGCUGCAGAAAGCAAAAGCAGACACAAAUUUACAGAGAAACCAAGGACUCAAAACCAUCUCUAAGAGAUUUUUUGUUUUAACCUAAUACACCUGUCACUUUAAAGUCCAUGAAUACCAUCACCAGUACAGUAGCACUGCACAUGAAAGGAAUAUGAAAUUCACCUUUGGCUGGCUAAGUAUCAUCUAUUCAAGACUGCUCAGUGCUUCUGGGUACAAAGGUAUUUCAGGUAUUUCUGAAAUUAUGAGAUGCCCGGGCAGCUGGGCUCUUGCCUUCGUCAGCAGUGAGUGUGGUUACUUUCUGAAAACAAACUUUGUUGGGGCUUGCAAUGGGGCAGACUCUUCCCACAAGGUUAUUUAAUGUGAGUCCCAUGACAAUUCUUAAAAUUGCAAGCUGCCAGCCAGGUUUCCCAAGCCAGCGGGUUUCCAACAAGAAGUGCUUGUUUUAUUUACAGGUUACUAUUAAAGACAAGACUUGCAUUACAUUAUUAAAUUGAUAUUGCUGAGCAUGAUGUGACCAGAAUAGCUAUUCAUGCCUCAUAGUCAUAAAUGAUUUAUGCCAAGCCCACCUCCAUCCCUCCCCCUGUACUACCUCAUCUGUGCUGACAUUUCUUCGUGAAUAUUUAAGGUAAUGUCUGCUCUCAUCUCUUGUUCAAAACCAAACACAAGCACUCUGCAGAGCACGAGGGGCAGUUGCUAUUCAACACACAGAACACCGAAAAGCAAUGAAUGCUGCAACUAAUGGAUACAGCACCAGUUUAUUUGCUGAAAGGUAAUCCUUGCAAGGCUGCUUUGGGGUGUGUGUUCUACAACUCUCACCAGCAAGCCUUUAAAACUUUACCUGGAAAGUGAAUGCAAAUACUGGAGCCCUGUUACAGCCUUUCCUUAUUUAAGUACAGGAACAUUUGAUGGGGCAGAAGUUAAGUGGUGGUGGGGUGAAGUGCAUCUGGUUGGCUCAGCCUCUGGUAGAAAAUUCGCCAUCCCAGAGCAGGCGUGUGAGCAAGGGCUGAGCCUUUCGGAGACCUUCCCUCCAUCCUAGGGUCUGCUCAGGAGUUUGUCUUUCCCAGAAGGGCAGCUCUGCUCUGUGUGCCAGCACAGCUAUUUGAGCGUGCACCAAAUAAAUGACAGCAGAGCUCAUUCCUCCACGUAUGCACUGACCUUGCGUGACAGAGUUGGUAGCGAAAGACAUUUCAAGACACUCCUGAAUAGGGACACCAGUUAAUUUGUUCGUUUACUGAAAUGACAUCUUACUGCCUGCAGGGCCAUGUAUUAUGCCACUUUUAAACCUUCUCAAGCAAUACAUAUUGAUGUAUAUAAAACAUACUCUGUGCAGCUAUAUUUGUGUGUUGUUCUCAUUGUGACCUCCUGGCAUAUGAUUGGCUGUCAAAACCACAGUAAUCUGUCCCCAGUGCCUGCAGGGUUUGUGCUGCAGAGCUACUGGGAGACGCACAUGAUGUAGGAGGGACGGGGCACUGGGAUUAUGAUUAGCAACUGCGUCUGCCACACUGCACAUCUUAAAACAAUCUCUAUCCUGCUUCUGCAUACCCUGAGUGAGGUAUUGGAAAUAAUUGGGCCUGUAAAAUAAAGGCAGGCUCGAGGCACAGGGCCUGUCAUGCUCACAGGACACUGUGUCCUGCUGCAUCCUCCUUCCCUCCGUCCACCUGCUCUACUUCAAUCCUCUCACCGGGCUGCAAAAAUCCCCUGGCUGAGCAGUGGCAAUAGGAAGGAUACUGGAUACCCUCCAUCUCCCCCCUCUCCCACCUACCACAUCUGCUUUGUCCCCCUCUGUUGUGGUUUAACCCAGCAGGCAGCAAAACACCACACAUAGACUCACUGAUUCGCCACCCAGUGGGAUGGGGAAGAGAAUCAGAAAAAGGUAAAUGUCAUAGGUUAAGAUAAAACCAUCAAAUAGGACAGAAAGGGAAAAUAAUAAUAAUAAUAAGAAUAAUAAGAAUAAUAGACCAUAUAAAACAAGUGAUGCACAAUGCAAUUGCUCACCACCCGUUGACUGAUACCUAGCCGGUUCCUGAGCAACAAUUGUUGCCCUCCCAGCCAACUCCGCGAGCUCAUAUACUGAGCAUGAUGUCAUAUGGUAUUAAAUAUCCCUUUGGCCAGUUUGCGUCAGGCUUCCUGGCUGCGUCCCCUCCCAGUUUCUUGUUCACCAACAGCCUCCUUGCUGGAAAGUCCUUGAUUAACCAUAAAUGUUGCUUUGCAACAACCAAAACAUCAGCAUAUUAUCAACAUUAUUCUCAUACUAAAUCCAAAGCACAGCACUAUACCAGCUACUCAGAAGAAAAUUAACUCUUUCCCAACUGAAACCAGGACACCAUCUUGCAGCAUCACCCAGCACUGGGCUGAGUUCAUGGCUUACCUUCACCAGGAUGCAUGCCGGUGAAAGGGAGAGGAUUCUGACAGCUUUUCAAAGCCCUUCAUGUCUUAGGCACUACAAGGAGAUAUCACCAUUUAGGCAAAACACUGUUUCCAAGCACAGGGACCACCUUCCUCACUACGCGCCACCUAAAUACAGAAAUCUUCACCUGAAGGGCUGUCCCGCAAUAUUGUUAAGACAGAACAGCUUUUGAGCCAUUCUGUGGAGUCAUGAACCAUGCUUCACAUCCCUAAAGCAUAUGGGAAAUUGGCAAAGGGUCUCCCCACUUCAGAAAAGGGAGAGAAAUCCUCUGUCUGAAGGAUGGAAAGAUAAGGAGUGGGCAAGGGCAAAGGGUGCCCAGGGAGAUAAUCACCCAAACUUAGGAAGCAAGAACCUUGAAGGGAACAGGAAACUGAGCUUGGAUAAUUUUCCAAUUCAUUAACUAUUGAAAUAGAGCAAAUUCCACAUCUGGACCUGGCUUCAUUAAAUUGCAGGUUUGAGUCACAUGGACAUCUUACUGCCUAAGCUCAUCCCUCUCUAACCAGACCAGAGAGCCUGUCCCAUAGAGAGACAGUCACUCAGCAGUGCUGUCCCAUUGCAGACGUCCCCAUCAAGCAGCUCCAAGUUGCCCAUCCAAGAUUUAGUACCAGCCUUUUGAACUCAACUCCACUUUUCAAAGCCAUGGCAGCCCACAUUACCUCACGCCCUGAAAUCCUGGAGGUGAAACAAGCAUCAUCUGCCUGCACAGAGCUAACACAGCUUGGAAACGCUGCUGCUUCUGCUUGUCCAUCACACGCCAAGCACCAGACUGCAACAGGACUGUUGGCUGUUAAAUUGUGCAGCACAUAAACCUCUCCAUGAUUUCUGACAGCUCAAAAAGUUUGUGGCCAGGAGAGCCAAACAACAAUGACAAAAAAGUAGAUACACAUAUUUAGUCACCCUCAGUCCACAUUUAGGCACCUACGUACAUUGCCCACUUUCCAGCUGGGACAGACAGGAUUUUAGCUGCAAGGAACUGAGAUCAAGCUUAGCAGGAUGCCUACACACUUCAGCAUCCCCCACACUUAAUACCCAUGAUUGUUACAACAUAGCAACUAGUCUGUAAUUAGUACAGACAUUGCCAGAGCUGCCUUUGUGUUACUUAUGAGUCAUGCUACUAAAAUAUUCUUUAUUCAUUAUCCAAGUCCUUUUAAUUUCAGUGCCAGGCAUUACCAUGUUGCAAGCUACGUAGGACUCUAUCAGGCUUGUGAAAGCCAAGUUCUUUCUGAUAGGAAUCUCCAUAUUUAAUUUGAUGAAGAGUUACUUUACAAAAGAGUGAGAUCAAAAAGGUUCCUCUCUGCACAAAAGAAGAAAGAAAAACUUAAAUGCCUCUCAAAGUGAGGAAUUUUCUCCUUGUUGCUUCUCCAGACACCCAUCUAUUGUUAGAAGAACCACUUUCAACCUUGGCUUAAGUUGUGCUGUCAGUUAAUUAAAUAUUUGUAUUUCAAUGCCUUUCUAGUUAACUAGCGAGGAAAAAGACUUAUGAAGAACUCAAACUGAAUAUAAAACUUUUUUCAUCUUUAAUGUAAUAUAUGGAACAGAAAGGCAAAAACAGAGUUGAAAUAUAUUAUGACAAGAAAAUAAAAGUAAUAUUAGAAAAUU